This 115-nucleotide non-coding RNA is filed under the name Corynebacterium aurimucosum. RNAcentral describes it as "TPP sequence". It matches the Rfam family "TPP riboswitch aptamer (THI element)". From Rfam's summary of the family: Vitamin B(1) in its active form thiamin pyrophosphate (TPP) is an essential coenzyme that is synthesised by coupling of pyrimidine and thiazole moieties in bacteria. The previously detected thiamin-regulatory element, thi box was extended, resulting in a new, highly conserved RNA secondary structure, the THI element, which is widely distributed in eubacteria and also occurs in some archaea. The record is from RNAcentral. RNAcentral also lists the same sequence under 1 other name. Lineage: Bacteria; Bacillati; Actinomycetota; Actinomycetes; Mycobacteriales; Corynebacteriaceae.
CUGAUACCCCACGGGUGCCCACGGGAAGUGGGCUGAGAGUGGCGCUGAUACCGCGCCUGCACCGUUUGAACCUGUCUGGUUAGCACCAGCGAAGGAAGAGAGGAGCAGCCAUGAC